UGGCGGGCCUCCCCGCAUUGUAAUUUAGCCAACCUGGUCAGAUGCGGAAGCAAGCAGCCACAACUAAAGAAACAAGUGCCGGGGGUCUGGCUCGCCUCUAA
Molecule: signal recognition particle RNA, 101 nt
Filed under: Candidatus Methylopumilus planktonicus
Lineage: Bacteria; Pseudomonadati; Pseudomonadota; Betaproteobacteria; Nitrosomonadales; Methylophilaceae
Description: SRP_bact
Rfam family: Bacterial small signal recognition particle RNA
About the family: The signal recognition particle (SRP) is a universally conserved ribonucleoprotein involved in the co-translational targeting of proteins to membranes. Archaeal SRP consists of a 7S RNA and homologues of the eukaryotic SRP19 and SRP54 proteins.
Source: RNAcentral